UAAUGUAUUUGCUUGCUUGUUCUACCGCUACGCUCGGUUAUUAUGCUACUACGCUUGUUGCAUUUUUAUUUUAUUUUUUAUUUUUUCUGUCAAGAUGAGCGAAAGUCUUUAUGAAAGAAUAAAUAACAACGUGAAGAGCAUAAGAAGUAAUGUUAUAAAGGCGUUCGAAAAUAUAAGACAAAUAGAUAAUAUAUAUGUGUAUGAUGUUCGUACACAGAUACAAAAUAAAGUUAAUUCUUUGCUACAUAAGUGCUUACCACCACCUGAAGAUAAAAAAAUAGUCAAUGAAAAAAGAUUUAUAGUUAUAAUUGAGAAAAAUAAAACUAAUUAUGACAAUUUCCGUUGUCCUAUAUGUAUGUUAACAUUAUUCCAACCUGUUCGAACCAAAUGUAAACACAUUUACUGCAAAGAAUGUAUAGAAGCAACAUUAAAAAAAUAUAACCACUGUCCGUUAUGUCGAAGGCCUACUACAGAUAAUAUAUUAGAAAGAUUACCAAACAGUUAUUUUGGACCUGAAUACACAAAUAUUAAAAUACGUUGUUAUAAAUGUAAACAGAUUACCACUAUAGAAAAAUAUGAACAACAUUUAAAAAACCACAUAAAUUAUUAUGACCACCAUGAUGAAACUAAUUUUUUUUAUAAAAAUAGCUGUUGUACUAAUUCUCUGUUUUGUUUUGAUAAUAAAAAUUAUAGGAACAACUAUAGCAACUACAAUUCCUACUUAAAACGUACGUUUCCAAAAUUGAAAAACAUAAAGGCACUCUUUAAUAAAAAAAUUAGAAUAAACGAAAUGAAUACGUUUUUAUUGUAUAUCGAAAAUAUAAGUAUAGUUACAGACAUACAUAGUAUACAACUGGUUUGUGGACGAAAGGUUUUCAACGCAGCAAUUUAUUUAGAUGAACAGCAUACUACAACCGACUUCGGAAAAAACAGAACGACUGACGUUUUUUUAGUUAUCAAAUUGAAAAAAAAACAGAAAGCGAAUAAAACGGAUGAAACGGAAAAAACGGAUAAAAUGGAAAAAACGGAUAAAAUGGAAAAAACGGNNNNNNNNNNGAAAAAACGGAAAAAAUGGAAAAAACGGAAAAAAUGGAAAAAACGGAUACGAAUGACUUGCCAAAAAAUUACAUAUCAACGAGUGACGUACAAGCCAAUUCGACAGAAACAAAAAACAAAAAAGGAAUGCAGCAUUUUGAAGAAGAUAACAAACAAAUAAAUACGUUUGAAACUUAUGAAUCAUACAAAGAAUAUAUACAUAAAAAAAUGAGUAAAAAAAAAAAUAAAGCAAAUGGAUAUAUAUAUAUUAUAUUUGAA
Molecule: long non-coding RNA, 1314 nt
Filed under: Piliocolobus tephrosceles (Ugandan red Colobus)
Lineage: Eukaryota; Metazoa; Chordata; Mammalia; Primates; Cercopithecidae
Description: lncRNA (ENSPTEG00000004783.1)
Source: RNAcentral